UACGGGGGGGGCAAGCGUUGUUCGGAAUUACUGGGCGUAAAGGGCUCGUAGGCGGCCAACUAAGUCAGACGUGAAAUCCCCAGGCUUAACCUGGGAACUGCAUCCGAUACUGGAUGGCUUGAAUCCGGGAGAGGGAUGCAGAAUUCCAGGUGUAGCGGUGAAAUGCGUAGAUAUCUGGAGGAAUACCGGUGGCGAAGGCGGCAUCCUGGACCGGCAUCGACGCUGAUGAGCGAAAGCUAGGGGAGCAAACGGG
This 253-nucleotide ribosomal RNA is filed under the name uncultured bacterium. RNAcentral describes it as "partial 16S ribosomal RNA". It matches the Rfam family "Bacterial small subunit ribosomal RNA", at positions 524 to 776 of the family's 1533-position model. The record is from RNAcentral.